UUUUUGUUUAACUAUGGCGAAAAGAAGUUUUUUCACUAUAACUGCAUAAAAUAAUUUUGUUCUAGUCUACUAAAAUAUUAUAUAGUGAUUAUUAGCAGUUAGUUUUUCAUUUAAACUAGUUUUUUUAAGAUAGUGGAGAUAAAGGGGAUAGGACACAGUGCCAGCAUCUGCGGUUA
RNAcentral lists this ribosomal RNA (176 nucleotides) under Acanthobothrium sp. DTJL-2012. Its description in RNAcentral is "partial 12S ribosomal RNA". Lineage: Eukaryota; Metazoa; Platyhelminthes; Cestoda; Tetraphyllidea; Onchobothriidae. The record is from RNAcentral.